GAUGAACGCUGGCGGCGUGCCUAAUACAUGCAAGUCGAGCGAACAGACGAGGAGCUUGUUCCUUUGACGUUAGCGGCGGACGGGUGAGUAACACGUGGAUAACCUACUUCUAUGUCUGGGAUAACUGCGGGAAUCGGGAGCUAAUACCGGAUAAUAUAUUGAACUGCAUGGUUCAAUGGUGAAAGACGGUUUUGCUGUUGAUUAUAGAUGGUUCCGCGCUGUAUUAGCUAGUUGGUAAGGUAACGGCUUACCAAGGCAACGAUGCGUAGCCGACCUGAGAGGGUGAUCGGCCACAUGAGAACUGAGACACGGACCAGACUACUACGGGAGGCAGCAGUAGGGAAUCUUCCGCAAUGGGCGAAAGCAUGACGGAGCAACCCCGCGUGAGUGAUGAAGGUCUUCGGAUCGGAAAGCUCUGUUAUUAGGGAAGAACAAAUGUGUAAGUAACUAUGCACGUCUUGACGGUACCUAAACAAAAAGCCACGGCUAACUACGUG
Molecule: ribosomal RNA, 497 nt
Filed under: uncultured bacterium
Lineage: Bacteria
Description: partial 16S ribosomal RNA
Rfam family: Bacterial small subunit ribosomal RNA
Source: RNAcentral